This 2615-nucleotide ribosomal RNA is filed under the name Triticum aestivum (bread wheat). RNAcentral's name for it is "partial small subunit ribosomal RNA". The record is from RNAcentral. Lineage: Eukaryota; Viridiplantae; Streptophyta; Magnoliopsida; Poales; Poaceae.
AUCAUAUGAUUUGACGAGUCGAUUUCAUCCGCCUCUCUCCUCUGGAAGCCCCAAGGGCCAAAUUCCGCCCCCCCAUGGCGAAAAGCUCCCUCCUUUUCCUCCCCACGCCUCUUUAUUUCCCACCUCCCCCCUCGUCUCUCCGUCUCUUCGCCCCAACUGGCCUCGGCCUGUCCCUCCUCCAAGUCCACCCAUUCGCCUCAAUCGGCGCCUCCGGGUUCUCCAGCCUCCCUCCAGUCCCGCGAUCUCAGAGGACGUUUAAUUGCAUGAUAUGAAGUCUGUUUGUGGAUUCCCUUUUAUGCAUAAGAUGCAGUGCACAUGAUUUUUGCCCGUAGUGCUGCAACAUCACGAUUUCUCACUUGGGACCAGCAAGCCUAAGGCUCAUGGACAGAGCUGAUACUUCAGGCUUCAUCGGUAGUGGCUCGAAUUGCAAGAAUAUUGACGUGUACUUCCAUUUUGUGUAUACUAUAUACUUUCUUGGUGGUGAAGUUGUUAAACUGGGGUUUUGAUUAUUCGGCCACUGGACAGCGCUCUAGUCUUUCUCUGUCCUAGUCCUACAUUAUACACAUAUAUAUUUACUGGGAUGGACCUUAAUAUGACAAAUCUUUGGCUUCAUGGGAAGGAACAUAUAGCCGCUUCAUUCUCUCAAGCUGAACAGAGCUCAGAAGCAGUCGAGACUUCUAGAAAAUCAUUUGGGCAGAGGAGUCGAAGUUCCCCUGUUCCUGAUGAUGACUGCAGGCUGGUCCUAGGACUUGGACCAAUGCCAAAUCUGUAUUCCGCUGAUAGCCAAUCAUCCGGUGGCAACAAAGUUAAAUUAUCUGGAAUUUUGUUCACCCAACAUUGUACUGCAAGUGAUCCUGGGUUACUGGUGGGGACUUCAAGAGGCAGCUCAAGAAAUUUGCAGUCCACAACACUGCCUGGCCGCAAGGAGCAUUCACACAAAAGAAAAAAUGGUGUUGUCUUCCCACAUAUUGGCGAGGGAUCAACUUCAGCCAAAAGGAAGUCAGGUGAUUAUCAGCUAUCACCUCUGUUUGCUCCAAGAUCAGAUGUUCUUUUUAUUGAUAGAACAAUGGCAGAGCCUGAUGUCCAGCAACACCUUGGAACCGGAUAUGAGGCCGAUCAUGAUUUAUCUCUUGAUCAGCACGGGGUUGAGCACAGCCCCGAGCCUUCUGCAACAACUGGCUGUUCUUUUGCUGCAACUUCAGAUACAAUAGAUAGCACUGAUAAUGGGGAGCAGAAAAGUCAUCAGCGCCAUCUCAAGAAGUGUCGGUUCAAUGGGUGUUCCAAGGGCGGAAGGGGUGCAUCAGGACUCUGCAUUUCCCAUGGCGGCGGUCACCGGUGCCAAAAGCCAGGUUGCAAUAAAGGGGCCGAGAGCCGAACGGCGUACUGCAAAUCGCACGGAGGAGGAAAGCGGUGCCAAGAGCUAGGCUGCACCAAAAGCGCCGAAGGGAAGACAGAGUUCUGCAUCGCUCAUGGCGGUGGGCACCGGUGCGGGGUUCCGGAGUGCUCCAAAGCAGCCCGGGGAAGAUCGGGACUUUGCAUAAAACACGGCGGAGGGAAGAGGUGCAUGACGGAGGGCUGCACCAGGAGCGCCGAAGGGUAUCCUGGGGUGUGCAUCGCGCACGGAGGUGGUCGCCGGUGCCAGUACCCGGACUGCAGCAAGGGAGCACAGGGAGGCACCCUGUUCUGCAAGUCCCAUGGUGGGGGCAAACGGUGCGUAUCUGAAGGUUGCACCAAAGGGGCCGAGGGCAGCACGUUGCUAUGCAAAGGGCAUGGCGGCGGAAAGAGGUGCCUCUUCGAGGGAGACGCGGCGUGUCCUAAGAGUGUUCACGGCGGGACCAGCUUCUGCGUGGUGCAUGGAGGAGGCAAAAGGUGUGUGGCACCAGGGUGCACCAAGAGCGCUCGCGGUCGCACUGACUGCUGCGUGAGGCAUGGCGGUGGCAAGCGCUGCAAAUCAGAUGGGUGCGACAAGAGCGCGCAGGGGAGCACGGACUUGUGCAAGGCGCACGGCGGGGGCAAGCGGUGCGCCUGGAGCGCCGGCUGUGACAAGUUUGCCAGGGGGAGGAGCGGCCUGUGCUCUGCUCAUGGAAACCUGACGGCCUCGAAGCAGACCGGAAGCAUGAUCGGGCAUGGCCUCUUCAGCGGGAUCGUCUCUUCUUCCUCGACGCCGGGCAGCGGCAUGGACCGAGUGAUCUCCUCUUCUCUCCCUGGCGCCUCGUCAGAUUGCUGCGGCGAGUCGUUGGAACUCAUGCAGAGUGGCAGGCUCAUACCGCCACAGCUGCUGGUUCCUGGCUCCCUGCAGAAACCAUCGUCUUCGUUUAACCUGCCGGGCAAUGGCCAAGAAGGAGGUGGUGGUAGCCGGGACCAGAGCUUCGGGUUCGUCGUGCCGGAGGGAAGGGUGCACGGCGGAGGGCUCAUGUCGAUGCUCCGAGCAGGACACCUGGGAAGCAACAUCAACAUCCCGGAAUCCUGAUGAAAAUGACACAUAUUCUGUGUGUGUGCCUUGUGCUUUUGCGCCCAGCAACCGUAUGAUGCUUUAGUGUACAGAGCUUCACUGUACUUGUUCGUCUAUGAACGAAAUUGCAUUAUCAUGAACUUGUAUUGGUACGCAAAUAGUC